GAGUUUGAUCCUGGUUCAGGACGAACGCUGGCGGCGUGCCCAAUACAUGCAAGUCGAACGGGGUCCAUCCGGUGGCAACACCGGGGAAGACUAAGUGGCGAACGGGUGCGUAACACGUGAGCAACCUGCCCCGAAGACCGGAGUAACAGCGGGAAACCGCUGCUAAUACCGGAUGCCCCCACGAGCCCGCAUGGGUUUGUGAGGAAAGGAUUACCGCUUCGGGAGGGACUCGCGGCCUAUCAGCUUGUUGGUGGGGUAAUGGCCCACCAAGGCGACGACGGGUAGCUGGUCUGAGAGGACGAUCAGCCACACUGGGACUGAGACACGGCCCAGACUCCUACGGGAGGCAGCAGUAGGGAAUCUUGCGCAAUGGGCGAAAGCCUGACGCAGCAACGCCGCGUGGGGGAUGAAGGCCUUCGGGUUGUAAACUCCUUUCAGUGGGAACGAAACUGACGGUACCCACAGAAGAAGCCCCGGCCAACUACGUGCCAGCAGCCGCGGUGAUACGUAGGGG
Molecule: ribosomal RNA, 514 nt
Filed under: uncultured Acidimicrobiaceae bacterium
Lineage: Bacteria; Bacillati; Actinomycetota; Acidimicrobiia; Acidimicrobiales; Acidimicrobiaceae
Description: bacterial SSU rRNA
Rfam family: Bacterial small subunit ribosomal RNA
Source: RNAcentral